GACGAACGCUGGCGGCGUGCUUAACACAUGCAAGUCGAACGGAAAGGCCCUGCUUUUGUGGGGUGCUCGAGUGGCGAACGGGUGAGUAACACGUGAGUAACCUGCCCUUGACUUUGGGAUAACUUCAGGAAACUGGGGCUAAUACCGGAUAGGAGCUCCUGCUGCAUGGUGGGGGUUGGAAAGUUUCGGCGGUUGGGGAUGGACUCGCGGCUUAUCAGCUUGUUGGUGGGGUAGUGGCUUACCAAGGCUUUGACGGGUAGCCGGCCUGAGAGGGUGACCGGACACAUUGGGACUGAGAAACGGCCCAGACUCCUACGGGAGGCAGCAGUGGGGAAUAUUGCACAAUGGGCGGAAGCCUGAUGCAGCAACGCCGCGUGCGGGAUGACGGCCUUCGGGUUGUAAACCGCUUUCGCCUGUGACGAAGCGUGAGUGACGGUAAUGGGUAAAGAAGCACCGGCUAACUACGUG
Molecule: ribosomal RNA, 468 nt
Filed under: uncultured bacterium
Lineage: Bacteria
Description: partial 16S ribosomal RNA
Rfam family: Bacterial small subunit ribosomal RNA
Source: RNAcentral